GACGAACCGUCCUAACGUUGUUCGGAAUCACUGGGCUUAAAGGGCGCGUAGGCGGGCUGCCAAGUCCGGGGUGAAAUCUUUCGGCUUAACCGGAAAAUAGCCUGGGAUACUGGUGGUCUCGAGGGAGGCAGGGGCCGUUGGAACUUCCGGUGGGGCGGUGAAAUGCGUUGAUAUCGGAAGGAACGCCGGUGGCGAAAGCGAACGGCUGGACCUCUUCUGACGCUGAGGCGCGAAAGCCAGGGGAGCAAACGGG
This 253-nucleotide ribosomal RNA is filed under the name uncultured bacterium. Its description in RNAcentral is "partial 16S ribosomal RNA". It matches the Rfam family "Bacterial small subunit ribosomal RNA", at positions 524 to 776 of the family's 1533-position model. The record is from RNAcentral.